GCCAGUGUGGCAUAAUGGUUUGAGUGUUGGACUAGGACUCUGGAGACCAGUGUUCGAAUCUCUACUCAGUCA
Molecule: non-coding RNA, 72 nt
Organism: Phrynosoma platyrhinos (Desert horned lizard)
Lineage: Eukaryota; Metazoa; Chordata; Lepidosauria; Squamata; Phrynosomatidae
Source: the annotation of a GenBank genome assembly